This 76-nucleotide transfer RNA is filed under the name Curtobacterium sp. MCSS17_016. RNAcentral's name for it is "tRNA-Glu". It matches the Rfam family "tRNA". From Rfam's summary of the family: Transfer RNA (tRNA) molecules are approximately 80 nucleotides in length. Their secondary structure includes four short double-helical elements and three loops (D, anti-codon, and T loops). Lineage: Bacteria; Bacillati; Actinomycetota; Actinomycetes; Micrococcales; Microbacteriaceae. The record is from RNAcentral.
GCCCCCAUCGUUUAGAGGCCCAGGACACCGCCCUUUCACGGCGGAUGCGCGGGUUCGAAUCCCGCUGGGGGUACCA